CAUCAGACAGAGCAAAGUGUAAUUCUGGACUCUCACAUUUAAGAGUUUCUUAUCCUUGGGCAAGAUACUUAAACUUUGAGAAUUUUCAAACCUUCCAGUUUUUUAAUCUGUUUUUAAUAUUUAACAAGUUUAAGAGGAUGGUUAAAUAACAAUACGUGAAAUCAUCCCACGUACUGAAAGCGUCAAGUUCAUGCAUUGUAAAGACAGAAUACAAAUGGAAUGUGUGCGCAUGCGCGAGUACGCACGCCCUUCGCUGACGGCUACCGUUUCUGCAUUUAAAGGAGAGGGUUGCCGCAGGACAGGUACUGCAGUUAGAAAAGGCAGGGCCUGCGGCAUAACCUGAAAUGCAGUAGUGAGAACAGAGGGAACUAAACUGCUGUGUAGAAUCAAGUUUAAGGAAAGAAGGAAGGGCAUCUUUUUGAGCUCAAGAUGUUACUUUCAUGUAAAAAUGAUUUGAGGAUUCCUGGGCGUGGGCUGGAGAGCUAGGAGACGGUGAUCGCUGAAAGUGGGGACCUGAUGAGACAGAAACAAAGGAGGCUCUGAAUGAACCCCGGCCAUAGCAACUGGAAGUAAGAUGUGGCCUAGGGGAUGCAGACAGCUGAAAUUAAUGAUCUUCCUGUGAUGAAGUUCAACAUCUGGACUUUAGAAACAACCAUGUCUGUUAUGCAAUUUUAAUGAUUUCCCAUUGGAUAAUUUAAUUAAUUCCCUGCCACCGACCACCCUCUGGUGUUCAGUAAAGGUUUAUCAACCACUAAUUUCAUGCUGCUCUUACAUUAAUGUAACCUUAAGGAUUAAAGAGAAGGAGUUAUGACCAUGUUGGGACAGGGAGAGGGGUCCAGAGGACUGGAUCACAAGGAAGAUACAGCGCUGAGAUGGCCAGGCGCUGUCGAAGAGUCCAAGAGCAGCUGGGAUCAAAAAUUCAGUGUCACAGACCACAAACAUGAUGUGAAAGCAACCUUGGAAAUUUUCUAGCUAUAGUUAAAAGAAGAUCGAAUGUCUUACAUUUACAUCAGGGUAUGAUUUUACGAUACCAGGCUCUAUUAUCAACUCUAUCAAGGCUCUAAAUGGUAUUAUUGUGUUUAAAAAAAAGAAAAUUCCCUCUGGAGUUACAUUUUUACUUUUAGAUUUUUGUUUGAUCUUUACCUGAAUCAAUAUGGGAAUGAUGCCAAAACUCAUACUCUCAAGUUCAUGUGACCGAUCUGCAAUAAGCCG
RNAcentral lists this long non-coding RNA (1212 nucleotides) under Equus caballus (horse). RNAcentral's name for it is "lncRNA (ENSECAG00000057160.1)". The record is from RNAcentral. Lineage: Eukaryota; Metazoa; Chordata; Mammalia; Perissodactyla; Equidae.